Molecule: long non-coding RNA, 1058 nt
Filed under: Manihot esculenta (cassava)
Lineage: Eukaryota; Viridiplantae; Streptophyta; Magnoliopsida; Malpighiales; Euphorbiaceae
Description: long non-coding RNA (MESC_LNC000894)
Source: RNAcentral
ACCGAGCUCAGAAAAUGACUCGCCACCUCAAGAACCGGCUCAGAUGACAAAGCGACAGUAAGGCCAAAGAGCCUGAAUCUUAUGCAAGACCUCAGUGAGGUAGGUGACCAAGCUCAGAAAAUGACUCGGCACCUCAAGAACCGGCUGAGAUGACGAAGCGACAGUAAGGCCAAAGAGCCUGAAUCUUGUUCAAGACCUCAGUGAGGUAGGUGAACGAGCUCAGAAAAUGACUCGGUACCUCAAGAACCGGCUGAGAUGACGAAGCGAUAGUAAGGCCAAAGAGCCUGAAUCUUGUGCAAAACCUCAGUGAGGUAGGUGACCGAGCUCAGAAAAUGACUCGGCACCUCAAGAACCGGUUGAGAUGACGAAGCGACGGUAAGGCCAAAGAGCCUGAAUCUUGUUCAAGACCUCAGUGAGGUAGGUGACCGAGCUCAGAAAAUGACUUGGCACUUCAAGAACCGGCUGAGAUGACGAAGUGACAGUAAGGUCAAAGAGCCUGAAUUUUGUUCAAGACCUCAGUGAGGUAGGUGACCGAGCUCAGUAAAUGACUCAGCACCUCAAGAACCGGCUGAGAUGACGAAGCGACAGUAAGGCCAAAGAGCCUGAAUCUUGUUCAAUACCUCAGUGAGGUAGGUGACCGAGCUCAGAAAAUGACUCUGCACCUCAAGAACUGACUGAGAUGACAAAGCGACAGUAAGGCCAAAGAGUCUAAAUCUUGUGCAAGACCUCAGUGAGGUAGGUAACCGAGCUCAGAAAAUGACUCGGCACCUCAAGAACCGGCUGAGAUGACGAAAUGACAGUAAGGCCAAAGAGCCUGAAUCUUGUGCAAGACCUCAGUGAGGUAGGUGACCGAGCUCAGAAAAUGACUCGGCACCUCAAGAACCAGCUGAGAUGACGAAGCGACAGUAAGGCCAAAGAGCCUGAAUCUUGUUCAAGACCUUAGUGAGAUAGAUGAUCGAGCUCAGAAAAUGACUCGGCACCUCAAGAACCGGCUGAGAUGAUGAAGCGAUAGUAAGGCCAAAGGGCCUGAAUCUUGUGCAAAACCUUAGUGAGGUAGG